RNAcentral lists this ribosomal RNA (484 nucleotides) under uncultured bacterium. RNAcentral describes it as "partial 16S ribosomal RNA". It matches the Rfam family "Bacterial small subunit ribosomal RNA", at positions 30 to 507 of the family's 1533-position model. The record is from RNAcentral.
AUUGAACGCUGGCGGCAGGCCUAACACAUGCAAGUCGAGCGGAUGAAGGGAGCUUGCUCCUGGAUUCAGCGGCGGACGGGUGAGUAAUGCCUAGGAAUCUGCCUGGUAGUGGGGGAUAACGUCCGGAAACGGGCGCUAAUACCGCAUACGUCCUGAGGGAGAAAGUGGGGGAUCUUCGGACCUCACGCUAUCAGAUGAGCCUAGGUUGGAUUAGCUAGUUGGUGGGGUAAAGGCCUACCAAGGCGACGAUCCGUAACUGGUCUGAGAGGAUGAUCAGCCACACUGGAACUGAGACACGGUCCAGACUCCUACGGGAGGCAGCAGUGGGGAAUAUUGGACAAUGGGCGAAAGCCUGAUCCAGCCAUGCCGCGUGUGUGAAGAAGGUCUUCGGAUUGUAAAGCACUUUAAGUUGGGAGGAAGGGCAGUAAGUUAAUACCUUGCUGUUUUGACGUUACCAACAGAAUAAGCACCGGCUAACUUCGUG